CAGAUGUGAAAGACCCGGGGCGUCAACCUCGGAAUUGCAUUUGAAACUAGGCAAACUAGAGUACUGUAGAGGGGGGUAGGAAGUUUCAGGUGUAGCGGUGAAAUGCGUAGAGAUCUGAAGGAAUACCGGUGGCGAAGGCGGCCCCCUGGACAAAGACUGACGCUCAGAUGCGAAAGCGUGGGGAGCAAACAGGAUUAGAUACCCUGGUAG
Molecule: ribosomal RNA, 210 nt
Filed under: uncultured bacterium
Lineage: Bacteria
Description: partial 16S ribosomal RNA
Rfam family: Bacterial small subunit ribosomal RNA
Source: RNAcentral